This is a long non-coding RNA of Physella acuta, 343 nucleotides long. RefSeq lists it as uncharacterized. NCBI's taxonomy places the organism in Eukaryota, Metazoa, Mollusca, Gastropoda, Physidae. The record is from RefSeq and is a predicted model, not a curated record.
GGUAGAGCUAUUUAUUACCUCCGAACGCUAGCCAAGGGUGACAGGCUACGCUCCAAGAUAAGAAUGAUUCCUGGUUCUCAAUGGGAGUUCAGAAUCUAUCUAUAUGACAAAACUUAUGUCCGUGGUAUGAUCGACUUUCCAAUUGCAUAUCAGAUGUCGAGGAGGCAAGAUGGUGAGUUCGGCAAUAUGUUUUCUACAGGCAGAGGAACUCUUUUACGAUGCCCCAAACAAAAUUUCACGGUGCAGGAUAAUUUUCAGGUGGACUUGGAAAUCUUGGAUGGACUCGUAAAGUCCUAUGUUGAUAAUAAAUUCACUGGAGAAUUAGUUGCAGAUACGUCGAGUG